AUUGAACGCUGGCGGCAGGCCUAACACAUGCAAGUCGAACGAGUGGCGGACGGGUGAGUAAUGUCUGGGAAUCUGCCUUAUGGAGGGGGAUAACGACGGGAAACUGUCGCUAAUACCGCGUACCAUCGGAUGAGCCCAAGUGGGAGUAGGUAGUGGGUGGGGUAAUGGCCUACCAAGCCGACGAUCCCUAGCUGGUCUGAGAGGAUGACCAGCCACACUGGGACUGAGACACGGCCCAGACUCUGACGGGAGGAAGCAGUGGGGAAUAUUGCGCAAUGGGGGCAAUCCUGACGCAGCCAUGCCGCGGGGAUGAAGAAGGCCUUCGGGUUGUAAAGUACUUUCGGUGAGGAGGCGUUACUAACAGAAGAAGCACCGGCUAACUCCGUGCCAGCAGCCGCGGUAAUUC
Molecule: ribosomal RNA, 406 nt
Filed under: uncultured bacterium
Lineage: Bacteria
Description: partial 16S ribosomal RNA
Rfam family: Bacterial small subunit ribosomal RNA
Source: RNAcentral